AGUGAACGCUGGCGGUAGGCCUAACACAUGCAAGUCGAACGGCAGCACAGGAGAGCUUGCUCUCUGGGUGGCGAGUGGCGGACGGGUGAGGAAUACAUCGGAAUCUACUUUUUCGUGGGGGAUAACGUAGGGAAACUUACGCUAAUACCGCAUACGACCUACGGGUGAAAGCAGGGGACCUUCGGGCCUUGCGCGAUUGAAUGAGCCGAUGUCGGAUUAGCUAGUUGGCGGGGUAAAGGCCCACCAAGGCGAGGACCCGUAGCUGGUCUGGGAGGAUGAUCAGCCACCCUGGGACUGAGACACUGUCCAGACUCCUACGGGAGGCAGCAGUGGGGAAUAUUGGACAAUGGGCGCAAGCCUGAUCCAGCCAUACCGCGUGGGUGUAGAAGGCCUUCGUGUUGUAAAGCCCUUUUGUUGGGAAAGAAAUCCAGCUGGCUAAUACCCGGUUGGGAUGACGGUACCCAAAGAAUAAGCACCGGCUAACUUCGUGCCAGCCGCCGCAGUAA
This 506-nucleotide ribosomal RNA is filed under the name uncultured bacterium. RNAcentral describes it as "partial 16S ribosomal RNA". It matches the Rfam family "Bacterial small subunit ribosomal RNA", at positions 29 to 523 of the family's 1533-position model. The record is from RNAcentral.